This 770-nucleotide ribosomal RNA is filed under the name Eumunida picta. RNAcentral describes it as "SSU rRNA". It matches the Rfam family "Eukaryotic small subunit ribosomal RNA", at positions 1 to 746 of the family's 1831-position model. The record is from RNAcentral. Lineage: Eukaryota; Metazoa; Arthropoda; Malacostraca; Decapoda; Chirostylidae.
ACCUGGUUGAUCCUGCCAGUAGUCAUAUGCUUGUCUCAAAGAUUAAGCCAUGCAUGUGUAAGUACAAGCCAAUAUAAGGUGAAACCGCGAAUGGCUCAUUAAAUCAGCUAUGUUUCAUUGGAUCUGUACCCCCAUUACUUGGAUAACUGUGGUAAUUCUAGAGCUAAUACAUGCACACACAGUCCCUGACCUAAGCAAGGGAGGCUCUUUUAUAGUUCAAACCGGUCGGCCUCGGUCCGUAACCAACCUGUGGUGAAUCUGAAUAACUUUGAGCUGAGCGCACGGUCUCCGUACUGGCGCCGCAUCUUUCAAGUGUCUGCCUUAUCAGCUUUCGAUUGUAGGUUAUGCGCCUACAAUAGGCUAUAACGGUAACGGGGAAGUCAGGGUUCGAUUCCGGAGAGGGAGGCCUGAGAAACGGCUACCACAUCUAAGGAAGGCAGCAGGCACGCAAAUUACCCACUCCCGGCACGGGGAGGUAGUGACGAAAAAUAACGAUGCGAGACUCAUCCGAGGCCUCGCAAUCGGAAUGAGUACACUUUAAAUCCUUUAACGAGGACCCAUUGGAGGGCAAGUCUGGUGCCAGCAGCCGCGGUAAUUCCAGCUCCAAUAGCGUAUAUUAAAGUUGUUGCGGUUAAAAAGCUCGUAGUUGGAUUACAGUUCAGGACUGACGGUUCACCGCCCGGUGCUUACUGUCACGCUCCGAACAGCCUGAAUAUGGCCCCGCCGGCUCGCACGGGAUCGCUCUUCACCGAGUCGUCGCGAGUGGCCGG